RNAcentral lists this ribosomal RNA (477 nucleotides) under uncultured Pseudomonadota bacterium. RNAcentral describes it as "bacterial SSU rRNA". It matches the Rfam family "Bacterial small subunit ribosomal RNA", at positions 30 to 501 of the family's 1533-position model. The record is from RNAcentral. Lineage: Bacteria; Pseudomonadati; Pseudomonadota.
UUGAACGCUGGCGGUAGGCUUAACACAUGCAAGUCGUGCGAGAAAGUACCUUCGGGUGCGAGUAGAGCGGCGGACGGGUGAGUAACGCGUAGGAAUCUACCUAGUAGAAGGGGAUAGCCCGGGGAAACUCGGAUUAAUACCGUAUACCUCCUUAGGGAGAAAGAGGGCUUAGCUUUGAUGCUCUCGCUAUUAGAUGAGCCUGCGUAAGAUUAGCUUGUUGGUGAGGUAAUGGCUCACCAAGGCAACGAUCUUUAGCUGGUCUGAGAGGACGAUCAGCCACAUUGGGACUGAGACACGGCCCAGACUCCUACGGGAGGCAGCAGUGGGGAAUAUUGGACAAUGGGCGCAAGCCUGAUCCAGCCAUACCGCGUGUGUGAAGAAGGCUUUCGGGUUGUAAAGCACUUUAAGUAAGGAGGAAAAGAUUGUAGUUAAUACCUGCAAUCCGUGACGUUACUUACAGAAUAAGGACCGGCUAAU